GACGAUUGUUGACUGAGUGGCGGACGGGUGAGUAACGACGUGGGUAACCUGCCUUGUACAGGGGGACAACAGUUGGAAACGACUGCUAAUACCGCAUAAGCGCACAGCUUCGCAUGAAGCAGUGUGAAAAGUUUUUUCGGUACAAGAUGGACCCGCGUCUGAUUAGCUAGUUGGUGAGGUAACGGCCCACCAAGGCGACGAUCAGUAGCCGACCUGAGAGGGUGACCGGCCACAUUGGGACUGAGACACGGCCCAAACUCCUACGGGAGGCAGCAGUGGGGAAUAUUGCACAAUGGGCGAAAGCCUGAUGCAAGGCGACGCCGCGUGAGCGAAGAAGUAUUUCGGUAUGUAAAGCUCUAUCAGCAGGGAAGAUAAUGACGGUACCUGACUAAGAAGCACCGGCUAAAUACGUGCCAGCCGCGGC
RNAcentral lists this ribosomal RNA (424 nucleotides) under uncultured bacterium. RNAcentral describes it as "bacterial SSU rRNA". It matches the Rfam family "Bacterial small subunit ribosomal RNA", at positions 79 to 518 of the family's 1533-position model. The record is from RNAcentral.